RNAcentral lists this transfer RNA (73 nucleotides) under Caluromys lanatus (western woolly opossum). RNAcentral's name for it is "tRNA-Trp". Lineage: Eukaryota; Metazoa; Chordata; Mammalia; Didelphimorphia; Didelphidae. The record is from RNAcentral.
AAAGGCUUAGGAUUAAACUUCAGACCAAAGGCCUUCAAAGCCUUAUGCAGGCGAUUGAACCGCCUAGCCUUUG